Molecule: ribosomal RNA, 498 nt
Filed under: uncultured bacterium
Lineage: Bacteria
Description: bacterial SSU rRNA
Rfam family: Bacterial small subunit ribosomal RNA
Source: RNAcentral
UGAAGGAUGAAUGCCGUAAGGUUGUAAACUUCUGUGAGAAGGGAAGAAAAUCAGAUUUCGUAAGGUUCUGACUUGACUGUACCUUCAGAGGAAACCCCGGCUAACUACGUGCCUGCAGCCGCGGUAAUACGUAGGGGGUUAGCGUUGUCCGGAUUUACUGGGUAUAAAGGGCGCGUAGGCGGGUUUGUAAGUCAGUGGUGAAAUCCUACAGCUUAACUGUAGAACUGCCUUUGAUACUGCAAAUCUUGAGUUCAGAAGAGAGAGAUGGAAUUCCAGGUGUAGUGGUGAAAUACGUAGAUAUCUGGAAGAACACCAGUGGCGAAGGCGAUCUCUUGGUCUGUAACUGACGCUGAGGCGCGAAAGCGUGGGUAGCAAACAGGAUUAGAUACCCUGGUAGUCCACGCUGUAAACGAUGAAUACUAGAUGUUGGUGCCAUAGGCAUCAGUGUCGCAGCAAACGAAUUAAGUAUUCCACCUGGGGAGUACGAUCGCAAGGUUG